CCUACGGGAGGCUGCAGUGGGGAAUAUUGCACAAUGGGGGAAACCCUGAUGCAGCGACGCCGCGUGAGCGAUGAAGUAUUUCGGAAUGUAAAGCUCUAUCAGCAGGGAAGAAAAUGACAGUACCUGACUACGAAGCACUGGCUAACUACGUGCCAGCAGCCGCGGUAAUACGUAGGGGGCAAGCGUUAUCCGGAUUUACUGGGUGUAAAGGGAGCGUAGACGGCGGUGCAAGUCAGAUGUGAAAGCCGGGGGCUCAACCCCGGGACUGCAUUUGGAACUGUGCUGCUAGAGUUUCGGAGAGGCAGGCGGAAUUACUAGUGUAGCGGUGAAAUGCGUAGAUAUUAGGAGGAACACCAGUGGCGAAGGCGGCUUGCUGGACGAUGACUGACGUUGAGGCUCGAAAGCGUGGGGAGCAAACAGGAUUAGAUACCCUUGUAGUC
RNAcentral lists this ribosomal RNA (440 nucleotides) under uncultured bacterium. RNAcentral's name for it is "partial 16S ribosomal RNA". It matches the Rfam family "Bacterial small subunit ribosomal RNA", at positions 338 to 795 of the family's 1533-position model. The record is from RNAcentral.